Molecule: non-coding RNA, 464 nt
Organism: Arachis ipaensis
Lineage: Eukaryota; Viridiplantae; Streptophyta; Magnoliopsida; Fabales; Fabaceae
Source: RefSeq, a predicted model, not a curated record
GCAAAAACACUUUAAUGGGUUUCAGAAAUUCAGAGGGUUUUGGGUGAUCCAUAUUACACAACACAGAGAUCAGAUUGAGAUUGAGAUUGAGAUUGAGAUUGAGAUGAGAACACCAAUCACACAUCAUCAACAAAACCCAACCAUUUUCAAAAUGCCUUCCGUCUAAAAUCAACUUCUUCUUCUUCUUAAUAAUGGAAACCUAGUACUGUAUGUAUUCUGUUUCUCCAUUUUGUGAAAGCUUUGAAAAUUCUCUGAUAAUUCUUUCCCGAUCUCACAUUUGCCUCCAAAUUCCAAAAAUUUGCCGAAAUUUCGAUUCUGCGGUGCCUCAUAGUGUUGAUCUUUGGGCAACAGGCUUUUCAGUUGAGGCUGGUGUGGUCAAGAUCAAGCAACACACAAAGAUUGUGUUUGUUUGACAAUGGAUAUUUGGUUGCUGAGAUUUUGCAUUUGAUAGAUACAUAUUUGGC